GGGUUGUGAGGUUAAGCGACUAAGCGUACACGGUGGAUGCCCUGGCAGUCAGAGGCGAUGAAGGACGUGCUAAUCUGCGAAAAGCGUCGGUAAGGUGAUAUGAACCGUUACAGCCGGCGAUGUCCGAAUGGGGAAACCCAGUGCAAUUCGUUGCACUAUCGUUAACUGAAUACAUAGGUUAACGAGGCGAACCGGGGGAACUGAAACAUCUAAGUACCCCGAGGAAAAGAAAUCAACCGAGAUUCCCCCAGUAGCGGCGAGCGAACGGGGAGCAGCCCAGAGUCUGAAUCAGCUUGUGUGUUAGUGGAACGGUCUGGAAAGUCCGACGGUACAGGGUGAUAGUCCCGUACACCAAAAUGCACAGGUUGUGAACUCGAAGAGUAGGGCGGGACACGUGGUAUCCUGUCUGAAUAUGGGGGGACCAUCCUCCAAGGCUAAAUACUCCUGACUGACCGAUAGUGAACCAGUACCGUGAGGGAAAGGCGAAAAGAACCCCGGCGAGGGGAGUGAAAAAGAACCUGAAACCGUGUACGUACAAGCAGUGGGAGCACCUUCGGGUGUGACUGCGUACCUUUUGUAUAAUGGGUCAGCGACUUAUAUUCUGUAGCAAGGUUAACCGUAUAGGGGAGCCGCAGGGAAACCGAGUCUUAACUGGGCGUUAAGUUGCAGGGUAUAGACCCGAAACCCGGUGAUCUAGCCAUGGGCAGGUUGAAGGUUGGGUAACACUAACUGGAGGACCGAACCGACUAAUGUUGAAAAAUUAGCGGAUGACUUGUGGCUGGGGGUGAAAGGCCAAUCAAACCGGGAGAUAGCUGGUUCUCCCCGAAAGCUAUUUAGGUAGCGCCUCGUGAAUUCAUCUUCGGGGGUAGAGCACUGUUUCGGCUAGGGGGUCAUCCCGACUUACCAACCCGAUGCAAACUACGAAUACCGAAGAAUGUUAUCACGGGAGACACACGGCGGGUGCUAACGUCCGUCGUGAAGAGGGAAACAACCCAGACCGCCAGCUAAGGUCCCAAAGUCACAGUUAAGUGGGAAACGAUGUGGGAAGGCACAGACAGCCAGGAUGUUGGCUUAGAAGCAGCCAUCAUUUAAAGAAAGCGUAAUAGCUCACUGGUCGAGUCGGCCUGCGCGGAAGAUGUAACGGGGCUAAACUGUGCACCGAAGCUGCGGCAGCGACACUAUGUGUUGUUGGGUAGGGGAGCGUUCUGUAAGCCUGCGAAGGUGGCCUGUGAGGGUUGCUGGAGGUAUCAGAAGUGCGAAUGCUGACAUAAGUAACGAUAAUGCGGGUGAAAAGCCCGCACGCCGGAAGACCAAGGGUUCCUGUCCAACGUUAAUCGGGGCAGGGUGAGUCGACCCCUAAGGCGAGGCCGAAAGGCGUAGUCGAUGGGAAACAGGUUAAUAUUCCUGUACUUGGUGUUACUGCGAAGGGGGGACGGAGAAGGCUAUGUUAGCCGGGCGACGGUUGUCCCGGUUUAAGCAUGUAGGCGGAGGUUCCAGGUAAAUCCGGUACCUUUUAACGCUGAGGUGUGAUGACGAGGCACUACGGUGCUGAAGUAACAAAUGCCCUGCUUCCAGGAAAAGCCUCUAAGCAUCAGGUAACAUUGAAUCGUACCCCAAACCGACACAGGUGGUCAGGUAGAGAAUACCAAGGCGCUUGAGAGAACUCGGGUGAAGGAACUAGGCAAAAUGGUGCCGUAACUUCGGGAGAAGGCACGCUGAUAUGUAGGUGAAGCCCCUGCGGGUGGAGCUGAAAUCAGUCGAAGAUACCAGCUGGCUGCAACUGUUUAUUAAAAACACAGCACUGUGCAAACACGAAAGUGGACGUAUACGGUGUGACGCCUGCCCGGUGCCGGAAGGUUAAUUGAUGGGGUUAUCCGUAAGGAGAAGCUCUUGAUCGAAGCCCCGGUAAACGGCGGCCGUAACUAUAACGGUCCUAAGGUAGCGAAAUUCCUUGUCGGGUAAGUUCCGACCUGCACGAAUGGCGUAAUGAUGGCCAGGCUGUCUCCACCCGAGACUCAGUGAAAUUGAACUCGCUGUGAAGAUGCAGUGUACCCGCGGCAAGACGGAAAGACCCCGUGAACCUUUACUAUAGCUUGACACUGAACAUUGAGCCUUGAUGUGUAGGAUAGGUGGGAGGCUUUGAAGCGUGGACGCCAGUCUGCGUGGAGCCAACCUUGAAAUACCACCCUUUAAUGUUUGAUGUUCUAACGUUGGCCCCUGACCGGGGUUGCGGACAGUGUCUGGUGGGUAGUUUGACUGGGGCGGUCUCCUCCCAAAGAGUAACGGAGGAGCACGAAGGUUAGCUAAUCCUGGUCGGACAUCAGGAGGUUAGUGCAAUGGCAUAAGCUAGCUUGACUGCGAGCGUGACGGCGCGAGCAGGUGCGAAAGCAGGUCAUAGUGAUCCGGUGGUUCUGAAUGGAAGGGCCAUCGCUCAACGGAUAAAAGGUACUCCGGGGAUAACAGGCUGAUACCGCCCAAGAGUUCAUAUCGACGGCGGUGUUUGGCACCUCGAUGUCGGCUCAUCACAUCCUGGGGCUGAAGUAGGUCCCAAGGGUAUGGCUGUUCGCCAUUUAAAGUGGUACGCGAGCUGGGUUUAGAACGUCGUGAGACAGUUCGGUCCCUAUCUGCCGUGGGCGCUGGAGAAUUGAGGGGGGCUGCUCCUAGUACGAGAGGACCGGAGUGGACGCAUCACUGGUGUUCGGGUUGUCAUGCCAAUGGCAUUGCCCGGUAGCUAAAUGCGGAAGAGAUAAGUGCUGAAAGCAUCUAAGCACGAAACUUGCCCCGAGAUGAGUUCUCCCUGACUCCUUGAGAGUCCUGAAGGAACGUUAAAGACGAUGACGUUGAUAGGUCGGGUGUGUAAGCGUAGCGAUACGUUGAGCUAACCGAUACUAAUGAACCGUGAGGCUUAACCUUACAACGCCGAAGGUGUUU
Molecule: ribosomal RNA, 2931 nt
Filed under: Klebsiella aerogenes
Lineage: Bacteria; Pseudomonadati; Pseudomonadota; Gammaproteobacteria; Enterobacterales; Enterobacteriaceae
Description: bacterial LSU rRNA
Rfam family: Bacterial large subunit ribosomal RNA
Source: RNAcentral